Molecule: long non-coding RNA, 3480 nt
Organism: Talpa occidentalis (Iberian mole)
Lineage: Eukaryota; Metazoa; Chordata; Mammalia; Eulipotyphla; Talpidae
Exons: 4
Source: RefSeq, a predicted model, not a curated record
CUUCACCUUCCUCUCUGGCCGCUGCAGCUCAUGCGACCUUGGUGGGAUUCCUGAGGCUGGAUCUGGGAGCCUCAGAGCUAGUGGGCUGCUAUGUCCCUGUCGCCUCUUGUCAGGACGUGGGUCUGGGCUCCUCCUCGGAACUGGCAGAGCACCUCUCCCCCGGGCUCCACGCACUUACCUCACAGACAUCAGGCCACCAGACACAUGAGGCCGCUGCACCUGUCGACAAUAGAAUUUGGGCCACAGCUGUUGUCACUGUCCGGUACUGAGCCGCGCUGAGGAUGAAGGCAGUGUGAACUGAACUUAGAUCAAGCUCCGGUGGAGUGUACUGAUGAUGAGCCUGAUGCUGGUUUUCAUGGAAAGCCUUGUAGGCGAUAUCUACGGCUCUAGUUUUGUGAGUUAUCCUUUCAGAAUGCUCAGGUAACAGUGCCAGGAAGAGGUCCAGAUCCCAGCACCUCUUAGCAAGUUUCUGUCAUGGACCGUGCAUAUGUGGGGAUGGACCCAACCUCCAUUUCUGGAGGACUGUAGGGCAAGGAGAGGAUGAAAUAACAUAUUCAGAAUAGAGAUAAAAUAUACGAGUCACAAAUAUCCUAACCUGCAGGAUUGUCCUACGGAGAGGAGAGAGUAAUAAUGUUCUUCCCAGACAAACAAAAGCUGAAGAAGUGGUCCUCUAACACUAGAUCUUCCCUGAAAGAAAUGUUAAAAAAAGAUCUCCUGUAUAAUUUAAAGAGAAGAAAAUGCAGGAAAAAAAAAAAAAGAACGAAAGAAAAAAGAAAAAGCUGAGCAGGGAAAUAGAACCAGAAAACUAAAGUCAAAGUGGCAGUAGAAGAUCCUCUAUUGAACUCACCCAUCCAAAGGCAGAGAGAGGCCAGCCUCGGUUCAGGAAACAAAACCCAAGUUUAUGUAGUCCCCGGGAGACCCGUCUGAGCCCCAAAGAUAAACACAGGCUCCCGGCUCACGGCUGAAUAUUACACCAAACCACAGAACAGACUCAGGGAUGUCAGAGUCUGGGCUACGGUGUAUUGUGCCGCACCAUGAUUUGCAAAGAGAAACCUUCUAUGUGGAGCCGAGACCCUUCAUUUUUCUCAUAAUGUAUUUUGAAUAGCAGCUGCUUUUUAAUAUUUGCAAUAGGAUCCAUUUCAGGAUCUGCAGAUGGAUCUAGCGCUGCAGAGUCUGCGUAUGGCUUCACAGUGCGGUGCUUAACCCCUGCGCCACCAGGGAGGCCCCAAGCCUUGCUUUUAUGUCAGCUUCAGGGUCUCGCUGCGGUGGAUGCUGUCAGUGAAAGGCUGAGAGUCCUGGAGCCUGCCACAGACCCACCCGUGCCUCCUGCCCCAGCCCGCCUACCACAGCCCACUGUGACCUGCUUAUUAGCUGGAAUUAUGUUGGGACAAGGCCUGGGGGUGGACUAAAGGUUUCAGGGAGUGACUGAUGGACUUUCUCUGGCCAGGGGCCUGACUGUGCGUCCCAGAUGACCAGGUGAGCUCUUGGAAGUCUCCUGCUUCUCUGCCCCCCUGCUUGCUUUAAGGUGCAUAUAUGCCUUUGCUGGGGUGAUGGGUGCUCUGUCGCCCAAUGGCUCAGGGCUCGGACUUUGGAAAAAAGAUCACCUCUGGGCCUGCGGGAUAAAUAAAGACGAAAUUCUUCCAUAACUUCUUACAAUCUAAAAAUCAAAAGGGAGAGGGUCCUAACACUACAGGCAAAUAAAAUGAGGUGUUUGUUAAGAAUUGCAUUUAAAACAAGGGCCUCCCCUGGUGGCACAGGUGGUUGAGCGCAGUGCUGUGAAGCUGACUACAGCCUCUGUAGCGCAGGUUCGAUCCCUGCUGGCCAGAGAGGGUCCCACAUGGCACGGCAGACCUCUCCUGUCAUGCCCACUGCUCCCCUCAGCAGUGUAUUUCAGUAGAUCUGCCUGUUCUGUUCCCCACUCUGUCUCUGGUGAAUCUUCUCACCCCCUGCAUCUCUGGCCUGUACCCCAGUUCUUGUGUGCAUAAAUAAAUAAAUAAAUCUUCUUAAAAAAUAUUAUUUAUGCAUACAAGAACUGGGGUGUAAGCCAAAGAUGGGGGGAUGAGAGGAUUCAUCAGAGACAGAGUGGGGGACAGAACAGGCAGACUGACUGAAACACAUUGCUGAGGGGAGCAGCAGGGAGACAGGAGAGGUCUGCUGCACCAUGUGGGUCAGCUCCCUAGAUAGGGAUCGAACACAUGCUACAUUUGCUGGUGAUAGCUUAUAGUGCAGCGUUUUAACCCCUUGCACCCCCAGGGAGGCCCUUCUGUUCUAUUAUUUUCUUUUUUGUAAAGGCAAUGAACUAGUCACAAGGAGGAGCUUUCAGUUAUGUAAAAUUUUGUUUUAUGAAAUAUCAUUAUUUUGUCCUGCUCCUCUCGUAGGUGUAGACAACUUUCUUGUAUUUGGAAGCUGGAAGGGCUCAGAUUUUGAAGUACGGUCUUGUUUUCACUGCUUUAUUUUUAAUUAAAGCUAUAUACAGCUGUGCAUUCAACAGAAUAAAUUUCUAAAUUUAAAAAUGAAGAAAAAGGGCAAAAGAUGUUUAUUUGGGUUUAAAAGCUAGCCGGAGCACAGGUUCAGGCUAAAAACCCAAACCCCCUCUCUAAAAAAAAAAAAUGAGGUGACCUUGACAUUAACUCCCAACGCUACUGCUCGCAUGCAUGACUAGCAGGAGGCCAUGUUUCAUCCUCAAAUGUUUUUCUGUAACCACAUGGAAUUUAAAAGUAAUUUAAAAAUUACUUUUCCCCUGCCAAGGAGCAAGGAGGUAAUUUUACCAAUGGAGUUUUCAUCAGCUUCUAUUACUGGUCCUGAUAAUGAUAGGGGGUUGUGUAUAUUAUAGAAGAGUAGAAUAAAAUAGGAUGAACAAUAUUAAAAAGUACUUUUGUGACUUAGCAUGUUUCCUUCCUAGUUUUUUCCCCAUAUUUGCAAUUGUGAAAUAGAUUGCCUGUGUAGAAGGUAGGUAGUAGCUUGAGAAUUAUAAAAUGAGCUUUAAAUAGGUCAAGAAAUGUAAAGUCACAUCAUAUCUUGAUCUUCGUCCAUAAGGAAGCCCCUAUAUGGCUGUCACUAAUUUUUUUCUUUGCUCUUCACUGCAUAUCCUAGGUAUAUAUCCACUGAAUGUACCAUUAAAAUGUGAUUUUAAUUUUGUCUGGUAUUUAAUAUUUAAAUAAAUUAAAUCAUGUUCUGUUUCUGUCUUGAAUGUCACUCAACACUAUGAAGGCAAGGCUAGUCCACAUUUUGGAUGCAGCUUGAGGGUUUUAUUUGCACUGCUGUAUAAUAUUCCACUCGGUGUACAGUUGUUGUUUACAUUGUGUUUUACUCACACAUAAGGGUUAAGGAGAGUAUGCUUACAUCAUCGCUAAAAAUUUAUAUUCUUCUUCAUCAUUUAACACUGCACUGUAAGUACUCUCCACAGCAUUAAAAACUAUUCAGCGUUACUCUAUUUGUCCAGUCUUUACAUUUAAUUUUGUAUAUAUUGGGGGUUUUUAU